This is a long non-coding RNA of Hypanus sabinus (Atlantic stingray), 590 nucleotides long. RefSeq lists it as uncharacterized. The record is from RefSeq and is a predicted model, not a curated record. NCBI's taxonomy places the organism in Eukaryota, Metazoa, Chordata, Chondrichthyes, Myliobatiformes, Dasyatidae. The transcript is spliced from 3 exons.
CUGCUGAGUUCUUCCAGCAUUUUGUGUCUGUUGCAAGGCACAAACGGUGACACCGCACCUCGUCUGCGUCAUGACUCCACAGAACUGAGGAUAUUGGUCUGGUAUUGCCACACUUCGCGUUGAUUUUGACAAAGAAGAAAUUCAUUGUUCGGUCCAGGGUUCUCCUGAAGACCCUGACCUGGAGUUACACGCUGACUACGGUUCUUUGCCCGAAUGGGACCCGCUCUCGGGGUUUCACAACUGGCAGUUGUUCAGCAUGACAAGGGCUCAGCCUAAGAGGUUCACUCACCUUCGGAGGACCAAGUUUUCGCGGCUCUGGAGAUGGAGGGACUGGAGGUUGGUGUCCGAGCAGAAGGCCGGUGUGUCAUGAAGAUGGAAGACCUCUGGCUCUGUGCCAAGAGACCCAAGAUCUUUGGGCACAGAGCUCGGAAAAGGUGACGCAAUGGACUUUUAACAUCGUAAACCAGUGAGUUGUUUGUUGCCUCCCGUCUCGCUGUGAAACUUAUUAGGGAGAGAGGGCCUGUGGUAUGUCGAAUACCAGGUGAACAAGUAGUCUUUUGCAGUACUACAAGCCUGUGUCUUUGUUGUUG